GGAGGGUUGCCGGAGUGGUUAACGGAGCAGUUUGCUAAACUGUCGACUCGCAAGGGUCGCAUGGGUUCGAAUCCCAUACCCUCCGCAA
RNAcentral lists this transfer RNA (88 nucleotides) under Riemerella anatipestifer. RNAcentral describes it as "tRNA-Ser". It matches the Rfam family "tRNA". From Rfam's summary of the family: Transfer RNA (tRNA) molecules are approximately 80 nucleotides in length. The record is from RNAcentral. Lineage: Bacteria; Pseudomonadati; Bacteroidota; Flavobacteriia; Flavobacteriales; Weeksellaceae. RNAcentral also lists the same sequence under 7 other names.